This is a long non-coding RNA of Solanum lycopersicum (tomato), 738 nucleotides long. RefSeq lists it as uncharacterized. NCBI's taxonomy places the organism in Eukaryota, Viridiplantae, Streptophyta, Magnoliopsida, Solanales, Solanaceae. The record is from RefSeq and is a predicted model, not a curated record.
CCCUCUUCUUUUCCUUCCCUCUCCCCCUUCUUCUCUCCCUUCCCCCGUCGCUCUCCUUCUUCUUCUCCUUCCCGCUCCCCUUCGCGUCUCUUCCCUCCCUUUUCCUCUUCCCCUCUUUUGUAGGUACCACGAGGCAACGCCGCCAGUGAAGGAAACAGCAGCACCGGCGAGGACCACCAUUACUGGCAGAAGCCCCCACCGGCGAGGAAGACACCGGCCAGCAGCUGCACGAGGUGGUGAACGACCAGCAGUAAGGCAGCAGAGGCAGCAACUUCAACCGGUAGUAGCACCUAAGACCACCAACAUCUCCAAACCAGUAAACAAGGAGAGCUCCGAAGGAGUUAUUGAAAGUUUCAAGAAGUUCAAAAGACGGAUCUUUAAUAGAUCCGUUCGGCUACAUCCCUUUUAAAGUCUCAAACUUGAAGUUCAAGUUAAAGAAGAGAGAUCAUUUGUCUAAUUCGUAUUUGAAUAUAUUCCUUAUGUAUUUAUUUUUUUUUUUUGUAAUAUUCGUAUAACAGUGAAGCUCUCAUAUAUGAUAUAAGAUUUGGGGGAUUGACUAUAAGGGGAGGGGGAUAUAUAUAUAUAUAUAUAUGCUAAUUGUUUUCUUUGCUUAUUAUGUUUUUUUACUAUGUGAUUGAUAUAAAUUUUCCGUCUAUUACUAAUGUAAUUAGAAUAGGCAACAUAUUGGAAUCACCCAAAUAAUCUAUUUAAAAUCAAUUAUUUGUUUGUCUUGUUUAA